GACGAACGCUGGCGGCGUGCUUAACACAUGCAAGUCGAGCGGUAAGGCCCUUUCGGGGUACGACGAGCGGCGAGCGGGUGGAGUAACACGUGGGUGGACCUCGCCCUCCAGCUCUGGGAGUAAGCCCGGGAAACCGUGGGUCGUAAUACCGGAUAUGACUCCAUGACGCAUGUUGUGGGGUGGGAAAGACCUUGUGCGGCUGAGGAUGGGCCCGCGGCCUAUCAGCUUGUUGGUGGGGUGGAUGG
This 245-nucleotide ribosomal RNA is filed under the name uncultured bacterium. RNAcentral describes it as "partial 16S ribosomal RNA". It matches the Rfam family "Bacterial small subunit ribosomal RNA", at positions 28 to 263 of the family's 1533-position model. The record is from RNAcentral.